UACCGUUUCGGAGUUCUCUGUUAAUGGGAUUGGGUUGCGGAGGAGGGAGAGGAGAUUCUUUCUCCCUUUUGACGACACGUGGAUCAACUUGAGAGGUGAUUUUCUUCCUAAUCGCACUGUUGGAUUUCUCUGAUGCAUCGUCUUCUUUUAUCUUCACACAGUGCAGUCUCCUUCUGCUCCCCUCCUGUAGGAGAAAAUCGGUUUCCAGACCUCUACCUGAUGUUUGAUUCUUUGUUACCUUCUCCAUCCCUGCCACAAGUAAAUGAAAAGAUUAGC
Molecule: long non-coding RNA, 276 nt
Organism: Telopea speciosissima
Lineage: Eukaryota; Viridiplantae; Streptophyta; Magnoliopsida; Proteales; Proteaceae
Exons: 3
Source: RefSeq, a predicted model, not a curated record